CAAAUGAUUUCUUUUGUUUCUAUUCACCCUUAAUCAGCCUGGUGUCAACAGAACAGAGGGCAGACUUCAAAAUAUAGAAUAAAUAAUCGAAGAAUAUGAGUAAAACCCAUAACUAAGAUUGUGGUUCCUAGGUGAUAGUUUACUUUUAAAGCUGUCUCCAAUAUGCUACCCUAAACCUAACAGCUAUCAUUUAAUUACACUGAAUCCUUGAUAUGCCUUUUCUGUUUGUCAAGUGCAUUUCAGCUGCACUUCAGGAAAGAUUUUUCGGGGGGUCUACCUGGUUGAUCCUGCCAGUACCAUAUGCUUGUCUCAAAGAUUAAGCCAUGCAAGUCUAAGUACACACGGCCGGUACAGUGAAACUGCAAAUGGCUCAUUAAAUCAGUUAUGGGUUAUUUAAUAGUUCAUUUAC
Long non-coding RNA from Xiphophorus couchianus (Monterrey platyfish), 409 nucleotides. RefSeq lists it as uncharacterized. The record is from RefSeq and is a predicted model, not a curated record. The transcript is spliced from 3 exons. Lineage: Eukaryota; Metazoa; Chordata; Actinopteri; Cyprinodontiformes; Poeciliidae.